GGCUCAGAUUGAACGCUGGCGGAAUGCUUUACACAUGCAAGUCGAACGGCAGCACGGGGCAACCUGGUGGCGAGUGGCGAACGGGUGAGUAAUAUAUCGGAACGUGCCCAAUCGUGGGGGAUAACGUAGCGAAAGUUACGCUAAUACCGCAUACGAUCUACGGAUGAAAGCGGGGGAUCGCAAGACCUCGCGCGAAUGGAGCGGCCGAUAUCUGAUUAGCUUGUUGGUGGGGUAAAAGCCCACCAAGGCGACGAUCAGUAGCUGGUCUGAGAGGACGAUCAGCCACACUGGGACUGAGACACGGCCCAGACUCCUACGGGAGGCAGCAGUGGGGAAUUUUGGACAAUGGGGGCAACCCUGAUCCAGCAAUGCCGCGUGAGUGAAGAAGGCCUUCGGGUUGUAAAGCUCUUUUGUCAGGGAAGAAACAGCAGCUCUAACACAGUCUGCGAAUGACGGUACCUGAAGAAUAAGCACCGGCUAACUACGUG
RNAcentral lists this ribosomal RNA (488 nucleotides) under uncultured bacterium. RNAcentral's name for it is "bacterial SSU rRNA". It matches the Rfam family "Bacterial small subunit ribosomal RNA", at positions 21 to 507 of the family's 1533-position model. The record is from RNAcentral.